CCCGCACAAGCAGCGGAGCGUGUGGUUUAAUUCGUAUGUUACACGAAGAACCUUACCAGGGUUUGACAUGCAAGUGGUAGGAAGCCGAAAGGUGACCGACCCUUCGGGGAGCUUGCACAGGUGCUGCAUGGCUGUCGUCAGCUCGUGUCGUGAGAUGUUCGGUUAAGUCCGCUAACGAGCGCAACCCUCGCUGUGUGUUAUAUGUGUCACACGGGACUGCCGGUCUUAAGCCGGAGGAAGGUGGGGAUGAUGUCAAGUCAGCAUGGCCUUUAUAUCCUGGGCUACACACACGCUACAAUGGCCAACACAAUAGGUUGCUAAGCCGCGAGGUGGCGCCAAUCCAUAAAGUUGGUCUCAGUUCAGAUUGUAGGCUGCAACCCGCCUGCAUGAAGAUGGAGUUGCUAGUAACCGCAGGUCAGCUAUACUGCGGUGAAUACGUUCCCGGACCUU
Molecule: ribosomal RNA, 450 nt
Filed under: uncultured Leptolinea sp.
Lineage: Bacteria; Bacillati; Chloroflexota; Anaerolineae; Anaerolineales; Anaerolineaceae
Description: bacterial SSU rRNA
Rfam family: Bacterial small subunit ribosomal RNA
Source: RNAcentral